UUUUUUUUGUAUACAUAUCAUUCCAGUUUUCACUUCCUGCCCUUUUUUGUUCAUAUUUACUCAGAAAAUUUCCUUUAAUGACUUCUAAACUGUUUUCACACAGUCAAACCAGAGGUUCCUGCAGCAGACGCAGAAGACUCCAGACCAGAACCAGUUCCUAGAUCCAAACCUCUGAGUUCCAGCUCCAAACCAGCACAAACCACCAAACCCCCCCUGGUAUCCCGCACAUCUGGACUCUUAAGCCCAGUUCACCCCAAACCGGGUAAGAUAUAACUCUCUUUCCUCGUGUCUGUGUUGUUAGAAAAUUAACAACUUCCUGUUUCACAGAGGACGCCGCGGAACAUCAAGCAGGCGUCUCGUCUCCCAAAGCCCCACUUCCUGCCCCCCGCCUGAAGAGGACGCAGUCGGAGCAAGACCGUGAGAGCAGCAGCAGCCCCACUGGACCUCCAUCUCCACCCAAUGUUGAUUCUGCAGCAGAUGGAGAUUCCUUGGAACAGCAAAUUGCAGGAAGUGAGUCCAGCGGCAGCGGCGGCGGUGGCAGACAGUGGUCCUCUCUAAAGAGUUCAUCCAGUCUUCCACUUCCCCAGGAGGAUGAACGUGAGCGCACCAAGUCCCUGCCUUCAUACCCUUCAAACACACACGUGAGAACUUUGUCUCAGGCGGACUCCGACUCCGCUUCACCCGCCGACCUCAGUAAAUCAGAAGACGACUCCGGUGACGAGUCUCCCCAGGGCUGAACCCUGCUCCACAGCGCCCCCUGCAUUCAGGAGUCUUCCUGCCGUCCUGCCAAACUGAACCCAGAACAGCCCGAACAACACGUCAAACCGAAGGGUUUCCAGGCGGUCAGCGCAAAAAUGCAAAAACCUCAUUUAGUCCAAAAGACUGAGGGAAAUCAGGGUAACUGUGAGCGCGUCCAGAACGCCUUCUUUCUGUUUUGGUCUGGAGAGAAACAUUUCCUGGUGUGUAUUUGUAGCUGUCACGUCCUUACGGAUUAUUCUCCUUUUUUUUAAAAAUAAAUUGUUAAAAAAACACAUAUAUAUAUAUAUUUUCAGUAGCAAAGCAGAUCAAAUCAGCUUUGACCAAUUUAACAGUUAAAUAUAAUUAUGUGUUUAUCAUUUGGUUUAUCAAAAACACAAUUUUAUCAAUUUUAUUCGUAAUUUCUUUUUAUUUUUACAUUGUUAUAGUACGAUUUUAUAGUAUAAAUCACUCCUUUGCUUUGUUUUUCUUAAAAUGUAAUUUUGUUUGAAAUAAUUCAAAUAUCAAAUAUCUUAAAUAUGUUAAACUCACGAACAGAAAAAUGAGAUGACUUUAGUUCAAAUAAAAAUAUAGUUUCUUUUUUUGUGUUUAACAUUCAAAUAAAUAAAAACACUGUUGCCACUUUCUCACCCAAACUAUGCUGUUGGUGAACUGCUGCACAUGCUGGUGUAUAUGAAUGUAAAUAUAAGCUCUCUGUUGUUGUUUUUUAUAAAUCAAAUGGGGUUUUUAUAAGAUUAAUGCAGUAAUAUAGUUUAUUUGUGUUAUAAAUGUUGGAUGUUUAUGCUUCACUUUGCAAAAUAUGUCUGUAAAUGUGCAUUAUUUUGCUUCUAAAUCAUUGGUGAUGGGAUUUUUUGUGCAUUAUAUUAACUGGGAGAAUGUAAAAUCAAUUUUAAUGACAUAUAGAGCUGCAAAUAUUUCUGUUUUUGAAAGUUUAUGCCAAUGAACGCAUUAAAUAAAAAUGAUUCUCUGUGUUCCC
Long non-coding RNA from Oryzias javanicus (javanese ricefish), 1732 nucleotides. The record is from Ensembl. Lineage: Eukaryota; Metazoa; Chordata; Actinopteri; Beloniformes; Adrianichthyidae.